GACGAACGCUGGCGGCGUGCUUAACACAUGCAAGUCGAACGGAAAGACGCUGCGUUUGUGUGGUGCUCGAGUGGCGAACGGGUGAGUGACACGUGAGUAACCUCCACUUGUCUUUGGGAUAACUUCAGGAGACUGGGGAGAAUACAGGGUAGGAGCUCCUGAUGCAUAGUGGGGGUUGGAAAGAGUCGGCGGUUGUGGAUGGAAUCGAGGCUUAUCAGCUGGUUGGUCGGGUAGUGGCUGACCAAGGCUAUGACGGGUAGCCGGCCUGAGAGCGUGACCGGCCACAAUGGGACUGAGAUACGGCGCAGACGCCUACGGGAGGCAGCAGUGGGGAAUCUUGCACAAUGGGCCGAAGCCUGAUGCAGCAACGCUGCGUUCGGGAUGCCGGCUUUCGGGGUGUAAACCGAUUUCGUCUGUGCCGAAGAGUGAGUGACGGUAAUGGGUAAAGAAGCCACGGCUAACUACGUG
RNAcentral lists this ribosomal RNA (468 nucleotides) under uncultured bacterium. Its description in RNAcentral is "partial 16S ribosomal RNA". It matches the Rfam family "Bacterial small subunit ribosomal RNA", at positions 28 to 507 of the family's 1533-position model. The record is from RNAcentral.